GCACAUGGAUUUUUAAUGCCCUCUAGCCAUUGAUGUUGCUCUUCACGAUCCUCGUUGUGGUCUUGGUGACUCUUAUGCAUGGGAUGUCUAGAGAGAUUCAUAGGAUCAUUGGGAGGUUCAAGAGAAAGAGCACAGUAGAAAUUAUUAGGCUCAAGGAUGGGUUGGAUAGCCGAAUCAUGGGAUUGAAAUGUUUGGAAAUUGGCUAUUGAAACUUCCUUUCCUCGUCUAGGAGAUGAUUCCUUCUCUAUCUCUAGGAUUUUUUAUGAAGAAUAGUGCAAGAAGGAUGUCUAUGAAUGAAGACAUACCUUACUUAACUAACAGAUAAAGAAAGAAAAAAUCUACCAAAGGUUAUAUGAUUAAAACCAAUGUGAAAAUAUCGAGAAAAAACAUGGUCUUGUAGGGCUAGGUUUAAACCAGAAUCUAUAGAAAGAUUAAAAGAUUCCCUAGGUGUAGCUAAAAGUUCAUUAUCUUCUUGAUUAAAAGAUAGGACCUCGGCUAUAGAAAAGGGUUGGUUUUGACCUAUUGCAAUCAACUCUGGACACAUAUCAUAAUUAGGGGUAGGACUUGUUGACUCCCAAGGUCUAUGGCUGGUCUCCGAAGGUGCAAAAAAUUCAAUAAUAGGUAUGGAGUUUAAGUUAUCCAUAAAGAUGGAAAAAAAUAAAAAGAUAAAAGAAUAAAAGAAUGAAAGUAUAAUACACGAUAAUAGCAAGACCUAAAGUUAUCUCAGCAAACCGUCUUUCUCCCCGGCAACGACGCCAGAAAUGCUUGUUGAUAUUUGGUAACGCCAUCAGGAAAUGAUCCGCAAGCGCAUGGAUAUCGGUGAGCACUUCACCCGGGAGGUUAUCCAAAGUAUCGUAUUUAUAUUUUUACCACUAGGAGAAUGCGUGCAUCUGACUAACCAAAUCUAUUGCUACUACCCUUUAGGCUACAAAGAAUGUGAUUCGAUGUGAGUGAUGAAUAGAGAAGACUACAACCGUAGUCUCAUUCUAGCCUUGGUAAGGAUGAUCUACUGUUCUAUUGGGGAAGCUCACGGAAUCUAGACACCACAAAGGAUGUUCGACCCGCACCUAUAAACCCUACCCAUCCCGCUAACGAGAUGUGGGCUACAAAGGUAACUUAGAAAUGUCACGUUCCUCGCUACUACCAC
Molecule: long non-coding RNA, 1147 nt
Filed under: Sorghum bicolor (sorghum)
Lineage: Eukaryota; Viridiplantae; Streptophyta; Magnoliopsida; Poales; Poaceae
Description: long non-coding RNA (SBIC_LNC004448)
Source: RNAcentral